Molecule: long non-coding RNA, 71 nt
Organism: Etheostoma cragini (Arkansas darter)
Lineage: Eukaryota; Metazoa; Chordata; Actinopteri; Perciformes; Percidae
Exons: 3
Source: RefSeq, a predicted model, not a curated record
ACACUGCUCUGGAACUAGUCUGGGCCUCACUUUACAGAAAGCUCAGUUUGUUCACUUUCAUUUUUAUAGGA